RNAcentral lists this ribosomal RNA (425 nucleotides) under uncultured bacterium. RNAcentral's name for it is "partial 16S ribosomal RNA". It matches the Rfam family "Bacterial small subunit ribosomal RNA", at positions 354 to 796 of the family's 1533-position model. The record is from RNAcentral.
GUGGGGAAUCUUGCGCAAUGGGCGAAAGCCUGACGCAGCAACGCCGCGUGCGGGAUGAAGGCCUUCGGGUUGUAAACCGCUUUCAGCAGGGACGAAAAUGACGGUACCUGCAGAAGAAGCUCCGGCUAACUACGUGCCAGCAGCCGCGGUAAUACGUAGGGAGCAAGCGUUGUCCGGAUUUAUUGGGCGUAAAGAGCUCGUAGGCGGUUUCGUAAGUCGAGUGUGAAAAAUCUGGGCUUAACCCAGUGGAGCACUCGAUACUGCGAUGACUUGAGUCUGGUAGAGGAGUGUGGAAUUCCUGGUGUAGCGGUGAAAUGCGCAGAUAUCAGGAGGAACACCAACGGCGAAGGCAGCACUCUGGGCCAGUACUGACGCUGAGGAGCGAAAGCGUGGGGAGCAAACAGGAUUAGAUACCCCAGUAGUCC